Conger conger (European conger) is the source of this 128-nucleotide small nucleolar RNA. RefSeq annotates it as small nucleolar RNA SNORA47. NCBI's taxonomy places the organism in Eukaryota, Metazoa, Chordata, Actinopteri, Anguilliformes, Congridae. The record is from RefSeq and is a predicted model, not a curated record. The transcript has a single exon.
UGGAGGGUUGAGAAGGUUGGGCAGCUGGUCAGCAGUGCUACCUCAACUGGUUACAGCCUCCUAGAUCAAAGCUCAGAUACAGCAGCUCAACCCAAACCACCUUCCAGGUGGGCUGAGUGCUGUAUCUG